RNAcentral lists this long non-coding RNA (606 nucleotides) under Prunus persica (peach). RNAcentral's name for it is "long non-coding RNA (PPER_LNC000619)". Lineage: Eukaryota; Viridiplantae; Streptophyta; Magnoliopsida; Rosales; Rosaceae. The record is from RNAcentral.
UUUUUUGCUUCCCACUGAGGUUGUUCAACAACGAUGGUCUCCCUUGCCCGCCAACAAAUGCCUAAUACUGUGUGCCGGUCUGGAUGGCUCUGAAUCCUCUGAGCUUGAGGUGGUUUUGUUGUCUCUCACCCAGCAAUUGAUUAUCUAGACGGAGUCCUUGUGCUGUGUUAGGUGUUUUUAAUAUUGUUUCCUUUAUUUUGCUUUCUGUGCUUAGUGAUCAUGUACAGUUUGAUAAUUUGGGAAUAUCUUCUUUUGGGUUCUCCUCUUUUAUUAAUGAAGUUCGGUUCAUCCGAUUUGAACCCUCAAAAAAAAAAAAAAAAAAAAAAAAACUAUCGAGCCCUUGAGUUUAAAAUGCUGGCUUCUUUAGAUGUACGGCGCGUAAGGUUUUUUUUAAGGGAAAUAGCCCUAAAUGCCACCAUUUUUAUAAUUGUAAUUAAAAAUACCACCCCUUCCCAAUUUUUGUACAACUAUCACCUAUAAAUACAUCUUUAUUGUGGACUGAUUGUACCAUAUCAGUUUUCCAGAAAUUGGGUUCUCUCUCAACUCUCUUGGCUCUAUCUCUCUCUUCGACCCAUCUCUCUCUUUCGCUCAGCUCUCUCCCUCGUG